AACGAACGCUGGCGGCAUGCCUAACACAUGCAAGUCGAACGAUGCCUCCGGGCUUAGUUGCGCUCGGGUGCGUAACGCGGGGGAAUCUGCCUUUCGGUACCGAAUACUUCAGGUUAACUUGAGCUAAUACCGGAUAACUUCGCAAGACCAAAGAUUUAUCACCGAAGGAUGAGCCCGCGUAGGAUUAGCCAGUUGGUGAGGUAAAGGCUCAUCAAGGCGACGAUCCUUAGCUGGUCUGAGAGGAUGAUCAGCCACACUGGGACUAAGACGCGGCCCAGAAUCCUACGGGAGGGAGCAGUGGGGAAUAUUGGACAAGGGGGGAAAGCCUGAUCCAGCAAUGCCGCGUAAGUGAUGAAGGCCUUAGGGUUGUAAAGCUCUUUUACCCGGGGAGAUAAUGACGGUACCGGGAGAAUAAGCCCCGGCUAACUCCGUG
This 433-nucleotide ribosomal RNA is filed under the name uncultured bacterium. RNAcentral describes it as "partial 16S ribosomal RNA". It matches the Rfam family "Bacterial small subunit ribosomal RNA", at positions 29 to 507 of the family's 1533-position model. The record is from RNAcentral.